GAUGAACGCUGGCGGCGUGCCUAAUACAUGCAAGUCGAGCGAACGGAUGAGAAGCUUGCUUCUCUGAUGUUAGCGGCGGACGGGUGAGUAACACGUGGAUAACCUACCUAUAAGACUGGGAUAACUUCGGGAAACCGGAGCUAAUACCGGAUAAUAUUUUGAACCGCAUGGUUCAAAAGUGAAAGACGGUCUUGCUGUCACUUAUAGAUGGAUCCGCGCUGCAUUAGCUAGUUGGUAAGGUAACGGCUUACCAAGGCAACGAUGCAUAGCCGACCUGAGAGGGUGAUCGGCCACACUGGAACUGAGACACGGUCCAGACUCCUACGGGAGGCAGCAGUAGGGAAUCUUCCGCAAUGGGCGAAAGCCUGACGGAGCAACGCCGCGUGAGUGAUGAAGGUCUUCGGAUCGUAAAACUCUGUUAUUAGGGAAGAACAUAUGUGUAAGUAACUGUGCACAUCUUGACGGUACCUAAUCAGAAAGCCUCGGCUAACUACGUG
Molecule: ribosomal RNA, 497 nt
Filed under: uncultured bacterium
Lineage: Bacteria
Description: partial 16S ribosomal RNA
Rfam family: Bacterial small subunit ribosomal RNA
Source: RNAcentral